RNAcentral lists this long non-coding RNA (272 nucleotides) under Prunus persica (peach). RNAcentral describes it as "long non-coding RNA (PPER_LNC002205)". The record is from RNAcentral. Lineage: Eukaryota; Viridiplantae; Streptophyta; Magnoliopsida; Rosales; Rosaceae.
GCCCUUGUGAUAAAAAUAAAAUAAAAUAGACGGAAAAUAUUUAGCUUUGGGUUUACAUAGUCAACACGAGUUUUGGGCCUACAUUGGCAGCUACCUAAUGUACAAACUUUUGCCCAAUCAUCUUUUCAAGAUGCAUUACUUUUUCUUGCUUUUCACUUCUCAUUUUUGCUCAUGUGAAUGUGAACCGUGAUUAAGUAAAAGAUGAAGAAAUUUCAUUGCAACUGUAAGUGAUCAAACGGUGAUAUUUCCUUUACUUUUCAAGAUGCCUUUUU